Lupinus angustifolius (narrow-leaved blue lupine) is the source of this 119-nucleotide ribosomal RNA. The record is from Rfam. Lineage: Eukaryota; Viridiplantae; Streptophyta; Magnoliopsida; Fabales; Fabaceae.
AGGUGCGAUGAUACCAGCACUGAUGCACCGGAUCCCAUCAGAACUCCGCAGUGAAGCAUGCUUGGGCGAGAGUAGUACCAGGAUGAGUGACCUCCUGGGAAGUCCUCGUGUUCCACCUC